AUGCAUGGCAAGCGUGAUUGCCGCAUCGCCGACCACAAUUCUCCGGGCUCCACGGAGGAGAAGCGGGAUCUAUGCGUCUUGCUUGAUCACAUCCAUGGGUUCUACAGGAAGGCACUCGAUCGGCUUCCGAUGGGAGCGAUUCCCUCGCUGGCCCCGUGCCUCCUCAAGGCCAGCAUUCCCUUCGGCUUCCUCAACCCGGUCACCAACAUCAUCGCCAACAUGGUCGUCUAUGCCCCUUCACCGACGCCUGGAUCCGACGAUGACGAGGUGGCGGUGCUGGAGUGGGUCCUCUCCAAGAUCAUCACCAACACAAGCGACAUAUUCGUCUUCGAGCUACCGCUUUGCCGGCAUAGGUCCCAUGGCAUGACCAUCGCGCGAUGGUCGCUGGACGGUCUUGUCAACUUCCUCACCACCCGCUUCCCCUACCUCUUUACCGACGAUCAACAGAUGUUGUUGCUGGGCCCGGCAUCGGGUGGAGAGGUUAGGGACAAGAAGAGAAGGGGCAGCAGGGCCGCCUUCAGCCAUAAGACCGACUUCUGCUGCAUCCAGCAACCGAACAAUUCUCUUAAUGAUGGAUUCUAUGUCCUACACCACAUGCUGGAGUACAGACGGGAUCACCAGAACCUUCACAUGGCACCUAGAUCUGGCGAUGCCCAUAUUCUGCAAUGGGCAAAGGACAUAGGAGAUAUCGAGGAUCAUCGACUUCGAGCUGAGUUCUAUAACAUCCAGCGCGAACUUGCCCAAAUCAUCAUGAAUGAGGUCGUCGGAAAAACAGGGAUGUUCCAUGCAGAAGGACAAAUGUCGCGCGAAGACGUCCGAACAUGGAUAGCCUCUCAGCGUCUCGACAUUAAGCCUUUCACAAAGCUCGAUGACUAUCUCCCUGACUUGGAUGGAUGGCACGACAUGAUGGAGUGA
RNAcentral lists this ribosomal RNA (915 nucleotides) under Triticum aestivum (bread wheat). RNAcentral's name for it is "partial small subunit ribosomal RNA". The record is from RNAcentral. Lineage: Eukaryota; Viridiplantae; Streptophyta; Magnoliopsida; Poales; Poaceae.